CGCACCUUGCGCCCUUUGGUAUUCCGAAGGGCAUGCCUGUUUGAGCGUCAUUUAAACCUUCAAGCUCAGCUUGGUGUUGGGUGCUUGUCCCCGCCCUGCGGCGGACUCACCUCAAAUGCAUUGGCGGCCGGUAUGUUGGCUACAGCGCAGUACAACGCGUCUGGCGUCUAGACAUGCUGGUCCCCCAGAAGCCUUUCUUUAAGCUUGACCUCGGAUCAGGUAGGGAUACCCGCUGAACUUAA
RNAcentral lists this unclassified non-coding RNA (242 nucleotides) under Biatriospora sp. RNAcentral's name for it is "partial contains 5.8S ribosomal RNA, internal transcribed spacer 2, and large subunit ribosomal RNA". The record is from RNAcentral. Lineage: Eukaryota; Fungi; Ascomycota; Dothideomycetes; Pleosporales; Biatriosporaceae.